AUUGAACGCUGGCGGCAGGCCUAACACAUGCAAGUCGAACGGUAACAGGAAACAGCUUGCUGUUUCGCUGACGAGUGGCGGACGGGUGAGUAAUGUCUGUGAAACUGCCUGAUGGAGGGGGAUAACUACUGGAAACGGUAGCUAAUACCGCAUAACGUCGCAAGACCAAAGAGGGGGACCUUCGGGCCUCUUGCCAUCGGCUGUGCCCAGGUGGGAUUAGCUAGUAGGUGGGGUAACGGCUCACCUAGGCGACGAUCCCUAGCUGGUCUGAGAGGAUGACCAGCCGCACUGGAACUGAGACACGGUCCAGACUCCUACGGGAGGCAGCAGUGGGGAAUAUUGCACAAUGGGCGCAAGCCUGAUGCAGCCAUGCCGCGUGUGUGAAGAAGGCCUUCGGGUUGUAAAGUACUUUAAGCGGGGAUGAAGGGAAUAAAGUUAAUACCUUUGCUCAUUGACGUUACCAGCAGAAGAAGCACCGGCUAACUCCGUG
Molecule: ribosomal RNA, 490 nt
Filed under: uncultured bacterium
Lineage: Bacteria
Description: partial 16S ribosomal RNA
Rfam family: Bacterial small subunit ribosomal RNA
Source: RNAcentral